GGAAAGGUGGCAGAGUGGUUAAUGCAGUUGUCUUGAAAAUAGCCGUUUUUUGAACUCGUGGGUUCGAAUCCCACUCNUUUCG
This 82-nucleotide transfer RNA is filed under the name Callyspongia plicifera (azure vase sponge). RNAcentral's name for it is "tRNA-Ser". It matches the Rfam family "tRNA". Rfam says of the family: Transfer RNA (tRNA) molecules are approximately 80 nucleotides in length. Their secondary structure includes four short double-helical elements and three loops (D, anti-codon, and T loops). Further hydrogen bonds mediate the characteristic L-shaped molecular structure. tRNAs have two regions of fundamental functional importance: the anti-codon, which is responsible for specific mRNA codon recognition, and the 3' end, to which the tRNAs corresponding amino acid is attached (by aminoacyl-tRNA synthetases). tRNAs cope with the degeneracy of the genetic code in two manners: having more than one tRNA (with a specific anti-codon) for a particular amino acid; and 'wobble' base-pairing, i.e. permitting non-standard base-pairing at the 3rd anti-codon position. The record is from RNAcentral. Lineage: Eukaryota; Metazoa; Porifera; Demospongiae; Haplosclerida; Callyspongiidae.